UCUAACCAGUGGAAAAGGUACUUGUAUGGAUCCUCUGAACCCUGAGUGGAACUUCCUGAAAGAUUUAUUUGGAGAAAAACCUUGGAAGCAGCAGAAGGACAAACAGACUCGCUGGCUGGCCAAAGACUCGUGGCCCGGUCUCCACGACUUGAGGGGAGUUACAUCUUAGAGGCCUGAUCUUUGGACCAGAAAGGAAUGAAAAAGUUGCCCCUUACGAUGGCUGUGCCUUGUCAGUUGCUUGAAGCUGCGUUCAGGGAUUUCCCGAGCCUCAUGGAUUUACAGAGACAUUCAGCUGCCGAGAAUGACGGCGGAGGAAGCGUGGUCUGGAAUCACACGGCGGAGGAAGCGUGGUCUGGAAUCACACGCGCCUGGCUCACGUUUGGAUGUUAAUGGCAGUUUUCAGGAAGACCAUGGCUGAGUGCCUGGCAGAUCCCUGCACCUGGACACCUGUGGGGGACAGAGGACCGUGGCUUCCUGUGAUGCCUGGGAUCUCUGCCCUGUGUCUGCACGAGCACGGCUUGGGUCGCUACCAGCCUCACUGAGGGUGCCUGUGAAAGAAUCCCAUCAUUCCUUGGAUUUUGGUGCUGUCAGUCUGAAAAGCAGAUGUACCUGUUUGGUACUCUAGAGGGAAUGUCCUUCCCUGAAUGAAAAAGCUGGGCCAUUUGGGGAUUUGGAGAAUAAAGUGAAAGUGCCCGCAUCGAACUCAGCAGCGAGCCAGCUGGCUGCUCCAGCCAUGCCUGGAUCCCCCGGAAGUCCGCAGGAAGGAGCUGCCUGCUGGCCCCCUCUCUCCACGCCCCCUGCUGUGUAGACAGCAGUAGCUGUGGGAACACACAGGGAUGGGAAAGCAAACACACUGCGCACCGGGGAUUCCACCCUUGGGCCGGUUGUCAGGCUGUGAUUUUAGCGGAGUCCUGAGCUCCUGUGGAGAUUUGCCUCUAUCCAGCCUUGGGCUAUCUGCAUUCCUGAACAUUUCUGGGCCCAGAAGGAAAAGAAGAAUGCUGACCAGCUCUGGGGAUGGCCUGAAUGAGGAGAGCACGAUUCCUGGCGGUGGUGGCCUCGGUCCGCAAACAGCCUUGUCCACAAUGUGCCCAACACGUUGGAAACCUUCUCUUCCCGCAGCUCGGGACAGAGAACACAGUCCCGGGGUGGAGUGUGAGAGAACUGCUCAGACAUGUUAAGUAACUCAGCAGAGGUCACACAGCUAAGGGACACAGAGGAACGUACCAAGCAGUGAAGGCCAUUUUUCAUCACUGCUGUCCUCCACGAGCUUACGUCUGGAAUGGGAGGCAUCUUUGCACUAAUGAACGGGUUGGAUGGAGCCCAGAAAACACUUGACACAGGUAGCAUUGACCCAGAAAGAAGUGAAUCCUUGUGUCCAGUGACUAGAAGACACACGAACCUGGAAAAAGGAGCCCAGGAGAUUGCUGUUUCCCCCACAUAGGAGAACAUCCACCCCCUCCUGCCCCUCGCCCAUAACACAUGACACAUUUAGCAGUGAUUUGGUCACUGCUGAGCUAUCUUCAUUUAAUGUGAUUUUGGCAGAAGAGUUGGUCUGGAAAUUGUAUUUUCAAUUAAACUUCCUUGUUGA
Long non-coding RNA from Enhydra lutris kenyoni (northern sea otter), 1588 nucleotides. RefSeq lists it as uncharacterized. NCBI's taxonomy places the organism in Eukaryota, Metazoa, Chordata, Mammalia, Carnivora, Mustelidae. The transcript is spliced from 8 exons. The record is from RefSeq and is a predicted model, not a curated record.